RNAcentral lists this long non-coding RNA (270 nucleotides) under Elaeis guineensis (African oil palm). RNAcentral's name for it is "long non-coding RNA (EGUI_LNC073393)". The record is from RNAcentral. Lineage: Eukaryota; Viridiplantae; Streptophyta; Magnoliopsida; Arecales; Arecaceae.
ACUUGCAAGGUAAUAGAUCUGAUCUAUUAUUUAAUACAUACAUUAGAUGUAGCUAGUAUAGAAACAUGUUGAUAUGAUCAACAUGUAGUUCAUACUAUAUUUAUAUAUAUUUUAAUUUUUGAUUUAAUGCUAUGUAAUAAUCAUGUAAUAGGAUCUUAGAUCUAGGGAUUUUCUGAUCUUAGAAAAUAAAUUUUGAUUUAUUUUAGUCUUCCGCUAUAUGAUCCUGAAAAAGUUUCAAGAUCUAACCCUGAAACCCUAGAUCUGGUUCCU